ACGACUGUAGCUCAGUUGGUUAGCGCGCUACCCACUCUCUAUGCCCAUGCCGAAAUCGCUGGUUCGAAUCCACUCAGUCGUACCA
RNAcentral lists this transfer RNA (85 nucleotides) under Pseudoalteromonas agarivorans S816. Its description in RNAcentral is "tRNA-OTHER". It matches the Rfam family "tRNA". From Rfam's summary of the family: Transfer RNA (tRNA) molecules are approximately 80 nucleotides in length. Their secondary structure includes four short double-helical elements and three loops (D, anti-codon, and T loops). Lineage: Bacteria; Pseudomonadati; Pseudomonadota; Gammaproteobacteria; Alteromonadales; Pseudoalteromonadaceae. The record is from RNAcentral.